GUGAGGAGUAGGGGGAGGUUGGACAAUUGGAGCAGAGACCUAGGGCAGCUAGGAAGCUCCACGGCCUCCUUGCCCUAUGCAUCUCUUCUAUCUGGCUGUUCCUGAGUUUUGUAUACAUUCUGAUGUAAAAACAAACAAACAAAAAACCUACUAAUCUAGUAAGUAAAAUGUUUCUCUGAGUUCCCUGAGCUGCUCCAGUGAAUUAACUGACCCAGGGAAGGGGUUAUUGGAAACUCCAAUCUGUAACAGGAGCACAGGUGGAAGAAGUUCAGCAGAGUGCUCAGCAAGAGCAGCAAACAACUGGGACCUGAAGAAGAGAUAAUAUCUCAGGAGAGAAAGAGAGACUCAGAUGCGUGAAACAGAGGUGGUGACAGAUGGGCUUCCCGGGUGGUGCUAGUGGUAAAGAAUCCGCCUGCCAAUGCAAGAGACAUAAGAGAUGUGGUUUCGAUCCCUGGGUCAGGAAGAUCCCCUGGAGGAGGGCAUGGCAACCCACUCCAGUAUUCUUGCCUGGAGAAUCCCCAUGGACAGAGGAGCCUGGAGGUCUACAGUCCAUAGGAUUGCAAAGAGCCGAACGCAACUGAAGCGACUAAGCAUGCAUGCACGUAGGGUGACAAACGUCACUUAUUGUGGUGACCAUUUUGCAAUAUAUACAAAUAUUAAAUCAUGUUGUACAUCUGAAACUAAACAAUAUUCUAUGUGAAUUGUACCUCAACAAAAAUGCUGAUAUUAUAUUGAAGGAUUUUUUCAUCUAGCUUUAUAAGAGUUCCACUUUGGCAGUCUCUCAAUAGUCUGGUCUGAUUUUGUAGAAUCUAUCUAUAAAAUGUUUUGGUCCUGGAUUUUGUCUAUAUUUUACAUUUGUCUAUUGCUGCUGGUCGGAGAAGGCAAUGGCACCCCACUCCAGUACUCUUGCCUGGAAAAUCCCACGGACGGAGGAGCCUGGUGGGCUGCAGUCCACGGGGUCUCGAAGAGUCGGACACGACUGAGCGACUUCACUUUCACUUUUCACUUACAUACAUUGAAGGAGGAAAUGGCAACCCACUCCAGUGUUCUUGCCUGGAGAAUCCCAGGGACGGGGAGCCUGGUGGGCUGCCAUCUAUGGGGUGGCACAGAGUCGGACACGACUGAAGCGACUUAGCAGCAUUGCUGCUGGUCUAUUCUGUUUUUAACUUCACUGAAAUUUUAUUUUUUUUAUGGAAAAGCCAUUCGUUCCAAUUUUAAAAGCUACUUUGUAAAAAUGUUCUCUUAUUAAAAAAAAAUCUGUAAUUACAGUUUCCUAUUUUUUUAAUUCUUGAUCUGGUUACAAAAGGGUUGUUUAUUGGUAUUUUCAGAGAGUUGACAUUUGACAUU
Molecule: long non-coding RNA, 1347 nt
Organism: Bos taurus (domestic cattle)
Lineage: Eukaryota; Metazoa; Chordata; Mammalia; Artiodactyla; Bovidae
Source: Ensembl